RNAcentral lists this ribosomal RNA (398 nucleotides) under uncultured bacterium. Its description in RNAcentral is "bacterial SSU rRNA". It matches the Rfam family "Bacterial small subunit ribosomal RNA", at positions 362 to 776 of the family's 1533-position model. The record is from RNAcentral.
UAUUUCGCAAUGGGGGAAACCCUGAUGCAGCCACGCCGCGUGAGUGAGGAAGUAUUUCGGUAUGUAAAGCUCUAUCAGCAGGGAAUAGAAAAGAAGGUACCUGAAAAAGAAGCCCCGGCUAACUACGUGCCAGCAGCCGCGGUAAUACGUAGGGGGCAAGCGUUAUCCGGAUUUACUGGGUGUAAAGGGAGCGUAGACGGAGAGGCAAGUCAGAAGUGAAAACCCAAGGCUCAACCAUGGGACUGCGUUUGUAACUGUCAAACUAGAGUACGGGAGAGGUAAGAGGAAUUCCUAGUGUAGCGGUGAAAUGCGUAGAUAUUAGGAGGAACACCAGUGGCGAAGGCGUCUUACUGGACCGAAACUGACGUUGAGGCUCGAAAGCGUGGGGAGCAAACAGG